AGUGAACGCUGGCGGUAGGCCUAACACAUGCAAGUCGAACGGCAGCACAGUAAGAGCUUGCUCUUACGGGUGGCGAGUGGCGGACGGGUGAGGAAUACAUCGGAAUCUACUUUUUCGUGGGGGAUAACGUAGGGAAACUUACGCUAAUACCGCAUACGACCUACGGGUGAAAGCAGGGUAUCUUCGUACCUUGCGCGAUUUAAUGAGCCGAUGUCGGAUUAGCUAGUUGGCGGGGUAAAGGCCCACCAAGGCGACGAUCCGUAGCUGGUCUGAGAGGAUGUUCAGCAAAACUGGAAUGGAGAAACGGUCAAGACUCCUACGGGAGGAGGAAGAGGGGAACAUUGGAAAAGGGGGGAAAGCCGGAAGAAGAAAGACCGGGGAGUGAAAGAAGGCUUUCGGGUUGAAAAGUCUGUUGGUAGGGAAAGAAAAGCAGCAGGUUAAAACCCCGAUGAAGUGACGGUAACCAAAGAAUAAGCAACGGCUAACUUCGUG
Molecule: ribosomal RNA, 492 nt
Filed under: uncultured bacterium
Lineage: Bacteria
Description: partial 16S ribosomal RNA
Rfam family: Bacterial small subunit ribosomal RNA
Source: RNAcentral